RNAcentral lists this ribosomal RNA (492 nucleotides) under uncultured bacterium. Its description in RNAcentral is "partial 16S ribosomal RNA". It matches the Rfam family "Bacterial small subunit ribosomal RNA", at positions 29 to 507 of the family's 1533-position model. The record is from RNAcentral.
AGUGAACGCUGGCGGUAGGCCUAACACAUGCAAGUCGAACGGCAGCACAGUAAGAGCUUGCUCUUACGGGUGGCGAGUGGCGGACGGGUGAGGAAUACAUCGGAAUCUACUUUUUCGUGGGGGAUAACGUAGGGAAACUUACGCUAAUACCGCAUACGACCUACGGGGGAAAGAAGGGGAUCUUCGGACCUUGCGGGAUUGAAUGAGCCGAUGUCGGAUUAGCUAGUUGGCGGGGUAAAGGCCCACCAAGGCGACGAUCCGUAGCUGGUCUGAGAGGAUGAUCAGCCACACUGGAACUGAGACACGGUCCAGACUCCUACGGGAGGCAGCAGUGGGGAAUAUUGGACAAUGGGCGCAAGCCUGAUCCAGCCAUACCGCGUGGGUGAAGAAGGCCUUCGGGUUGUAAAGCCCUUUUGUUGGGAAAGAAAAGCAGCAGGUUAAUACCCCGCUGUUCUGACGGUACCCAAAGAAUAAGCACCGGCUAACUUCGUG